AACAAACGCUGGCGGCGUGCCUAAUACAUGCAAGUCGAACGGGGAAAGGCUUCGGCCGAGUACUAGUGGCGCACGGGUGAGUAACGCGUGGAUAAUCUGCCUUCAAGUGGGGGAUAACUAUCCGAAAGGAUAGCUAAUACCGCAUAAGACCACAGGAUCUCAGGGUCCCGAGGUAAAAGGUUUUUCGCUUGAAGAUGAGUCCGCGUGAGAUUAGCUAGUUGGUGAGGUAAUGGCUCACCAAGGCGACGAUCUCUAGCUGGUCUGAGAGGAUGAUCAGUCACACUGGAACUGAGACACGGUCCAGACUCCUACGGGUGGCAG
This 321-nucleotide ribosomal RNA is filed under the name uncultured Pseudomonadota bacterium. Its description in RNAcentral is "bacterial SSU rRNA". It matches the Rfam family "Bacterial small subunit ribosomal RNA", at positions 29 to 351 of the family's 1533-position model. The record is from RNAcentral. Lineage: Bacteria; Pseudomonadati; Pseudomonadota.